UCUCCGUUGGUGAACCAGCGGAGGGAUCAUUACAGAGUUGCAAAACUCCCAAACCAUUGUGAACGUUACCUAUCCCGUUGCUUCGGCGGGCGGCCCGGGCCCCGCGCCCGGCGCCCCCCGGCCCCCCGUGGGCGCCCGCCGGAGGUAAACCAAACUCUUGAAUUGCAUGGCCUCUCUGAGUCUUCUGUACUGAAUAAGUCAAAACUUUCAACAACGGAUCUCUUGGUUCUG
RNAcentral lists this unclassified non-coding RNA (231 nucleotides) under plant metagenome. Its description in RNAcentral is "partial contains small subunit ribosomal RNA, internal transcribed spacer 1, and 5.8S ribosomal RNA". The record is from RNAcentral.